This 404-nucleotide ribosomal RNA is filed under the name uncultured Microvirga sp. RNAcentral's name for it is "bacterial SSU rRNA". It matches the Rfam family "Bacterial small subunit ribosomal RNA", at positions 355 to 776 of the family's 1533-position model. The record is from RNAcentral. Lineage: Bacteria; Pseudomonadati; Pseudomonadota; Alphaproteobacteria; Hyphomicrobiales; Methylobacteriaceae.
UGGGGAAUAUUGGACAAUGGGCGCAAGCCUGAUCCAGCCAUGCCGCGUGAGUGAUGAAGGCCUUAGGGUUGUAAAGCUCUUUCAGCGGGGACGAUAAUGACGGUACCCGCAGAAGAAGCCCCGGCUAACUUCGUGCCAGCAGCCGCGGUAAUACGAAGGGGGCUAGCGUUGUUCGGAAUCACUGGGCGUAAAGGGCGCGUAGGCGGCUUUGUAAGUCGGGGGUGAAAGCCUGUGGCUCAACCACAGAAUUGCCUUCGAUACUGCAUGGCUUGAGACCGGAAGAGGUUAGUGGAACUGCGAGUGUAGAGGUGAAAUUCGUAGAUAUUCGCAAGAACACCAGUGGCGAAGGCGGCUGACUGGUCCGGUUCUGACGCUGAGGCGCGAAAGCGUGGGGAGCAAACAGG